GCGGGAAAGGUUGGAAAUAGUGUCGCGGNAACGGUCGCCCUGUANGGGGGGAGAAUAACUAUGACGUAGCUAAUACCGCAUAACGUCGCAAGACCAAAGAGGGGACUUUCGGGCUCUGCAUCAGAUGUGCCCAAUGGAAUUAGCUAGUUAGGUGGGGUAAACGGUUCAACUUAAGGCGAAUGAAUCCUUAAGUUGGGUCCUGGAAGAAGGAUUGAACAAGCAAAAUCUGGAAANCUGGAGAACACCGGUCCAAGAAUUCNUAGGGAAGGCAACAAGUUGGGGAAUUUCUCGGCCCAAUGGGGCGCAAGCNUGGAUGGCAGGCAUUGGCCGGGGUGUCUGAGGAAAGGCCUUCCGGGUUGGUAAAGUACUUCCAAGCNGGGGAGGAAGGUGUGGUGGUCAAUUACCCACGACGCAAUUGGAACGNUUACCCGCAGAAAGAAGGCACCGGGUUAAUUCCCGUGGCNAGCAAGCCCGGCGGUAAUUCACCCGGAAAGGGGUUGGCCAAAGCCGUUUAACUUCGGGGAAUUNACUGGGGGCACGUUAAACGCGGCACGCCAGGCCGAGUUCCUGGGUCCACAAGUCCCGGANUGCUGGAAAUAU
Molecule: ribosomal RNA, 600 nt
Filed under: uncultured bacterium
Lineage: Bacteria
Description: partial 16S ribosomal RNA
Source: RNAcentral